UUUUUUUUAUUUUUUUAAAAUUUUUUAUUUAUUUUUAUUUUUUACAGGUAGUUUUUAUUUUAUUUUCCCACUGUACAGCAAGGGGAUCAAGUUAUCCUUACAUGCAUACAUUACAAUUACAUUUUUUCCCCCACCCUUUGUUCUGUUGCAACAUGAGUAUCUAGACAAAGGUGGAGAAAAAAAACAUUCAUGUAAGUGUAUCUUGUCCCCCAUGCUGUACAGCAGAAAAAUAAAUAAAUAAAAAUUUUUGUGAAAUAUAAGAAUUAGGACUUGAUUGACAUGACUAAUAUAAAAAGGAGGGAGGGACUGUAGGUUAAAACCAUUGGGAUACCUUAACCUUGGUCUGGAGGUCAGCGUUUAAAUCCCUGCUCCAUCCUCUUUCUAGCCAGGUGACCGGAGGCAAAUUCACUGCACUUCUUUGAGCCUAAGGUUUCUCAUCUGUCAAAAGGGGCUAAUGACAGCACUUCAUCCAGGAGUGGCCUCCGAGGACUGAAUGAAACAAUGCAAAUGAGGCAUGUACCAUGGGACUUGGCAAAGGAAAGCUCUUGGCAAAGAGCAGCAACCUCAUCACUUAGAGCUUGACAAAUUCCAUGAAGACUAGACUCAGAAUGCAAAUCCCCCCAAUAUCUCAGAUAUGAUCACUGAUUCAGCUCAGCCCCCCAUGGGUUCAUUCAAAAAUAUUUACAACACAUCUAGUCUGAGCCAGGCACUUUUCUGUAUCCUGGGGGUGAAGACAUAAGCCAAAUACACAUGAAAAUUCAGAUCACUAAACGACAAUAGAUCAUUUGUUUCAAUGUUAGAGAAAUCACAUUCUUGGACAGAAAGGUCACAGGAGAGGGUCUAUUUCAUUUUGAAGACUGCAGGACACACUGCAGUGAGGGUCCAGGGCCAGGGAGAGAGGGAGGAGGCCAGGAAAGGAAGGCAGUGCCUACAGUGAGGUCUCCGGCAGUCAGCCCUGCCGUCUGCCAGGAGCUGGUUCUGAUGCCACUGGGCUCUGGCUUCCGGCCAAAGCCGCACUUACUUGAUGCUGUGCAGCUUCCUCAUGACGAUCCCUGAAACAUCGACUUUCCAAGAUGUACUUGAUAGAAGAUCCUCAUCCUGAGAAAACACACAUAAAAAUCUUACACAGUUAUUUAUUACUCACACCUUCAGCCGUCAUCUUCAUGAACCAAGUACUAGGCCCCGAAGAGCAAUGGCGGGACUUUAGGAUUUUCAAUCACGGGAACAAUAUGGUUAGAAAUGUACUUUUCAAGAGUUCACAUUUCGGCUCAGUGGUAAUGAAUCCGACUAGAAUCCGUGAGGAUGCGGGUUUGAUCCCUGGCCUCACUCAGUGGGUUAAGCAUCUGUUGUUGCUGUGAGUUGCCGUGGAGAUCGCAGAUGCAGCUUGGAUCCUGCAUUGCUGUGGCUGUGGUCCAGGCUGGCAGCUAUAACUCAGAUUCAAGCCCUAGCCUCGGAACUUCCUAUACCACAGGUUCGGCUCUAAAAACAAAAAGAAGAAAAAGAAAUGUACUUUCCAAAGUACUUUGGUAUCAGUAUAAAGAAGGGAUGGAGGGGGAAACGAGGUUAUUGGAGUUGUCCAGCUAAGAAAUGAUGAGGAAAACAAAAAAAAAGAAAUGAUGACGAGCCUCAAUCAGGUGAGUGGCAAUUGGGAGGGAUGAAGGGAGGGGCUAAAAGCUGGUUUGGAAGCAGGACAUCACAGGAUUUCCCAGAAGGCAGCUUGAGACCUAUUAGAGAGAGUCAAGACAUCAAUGUGGGGGAUUGCGACCAGCAGUUGGGGAUAACAGAUAAAUGGCACAUAUCCGAAAGCAUCCCAUGGAAUGAGGUAAGUAAUAUUUUGUGAUGUAUGGAUUUCUUUCCAGAAUGGUAGAGAACAGAGGGGCAGGAAAGAGCAGGCUCGCUGGGUCUGGGGAGACAGGGUUCAAAUCCAAGGUCCACCGCUUGUUUGCUGGGAGGCCUUGGGAAAGUCACGAACUCCCUGGGCCAGAGUUUCCUCAUUGGAAAAGGAGAGAAACUGAUAACACCUCAUGGGGUUGUGAGGAUUAAUGAGGAAAUACAGGAGGGACACGCAGAUGAGGGCAUCAUGUGUGUGCCUCUACCAUUUCCAGACACAGGUACACAGACGCAGGUCCUGGCUAGGGACGCACAGUAAUUUUCCCCUGUGACCUCAGUUUACAAAAGUGUGACACUAACACACACCCAGUAACACAUACACAGACACACACAUGGCAAUGCUUCCCCUUCUUCUUUUCCUAGCUUGGUCGUUGGCCACACCCACAUCUAGUCCCCUGCUGGUCAUGACCGAACUCUCCCAUCUCCUCCCUGUCCAAUCAGUCACUCAGCCCUGAGCAUAUGCAAAUGUCAGAUCCCUGUGUAAUACACCUGAAACUAACACAAUACAUCCCAUCAUAGGCUACUGCUUCUCUGUGGAAGCUAAAAACACAAAAGAUACAAAUGGCCUUAAACAUAACACAGGAGUAGACCCACAGACAGAGCAGAAACACUUAUGGUUACCAAGGGGGAAAGGGGAUGGCGAGGGACAAAUUAGGAGUUUGGGAUUAACAGAUACCCUCCACUACCUAUAAAACAGAUAACCAACAGGGACCUCCUGUAUAGCACAAGGACGUAUACUGAAUAUUUUGUAAAAAGCUAAAGGCAAAAACCAAAAAGUGUGUAUAUAUAUAUAUACAUACAUACAUAUAUACAUAUAUGGGGAGAGAGACACACACACACAGAUAAAUAACUGAAUCUCUGUCCUAUAAACCCAAAACUAACACAACACUGUAAAUCAAUUAUAGUUCAGUAAAAAGUUACACCACACACACAAAUCAAUUUUCAACAAAUUGCUCAGCCCCACUGCCUAUUCUUGAAGGCAUCCUCUCCUCCUCAGCUCCCUCACCAGCCGUGGAGACUAAAACACCACCCCUUUCAGCCUACAGCAGCCCCCACCCCUUUAAGACUAAGACUCUAAAACUCCAGGAGACCCCGAGGACCCCAAGAAGGACAGCACAACCAUCCUACAUCCGCACAGGACGUCUGACAGUUUGAGGGGCCUGCCCGGGCAUGCGCACUCUUGCUCCUCAUCAGAGCUCUGAGGGAGGGAAUCCCUGGGGAAGGAAGCCUCCAAAAGGCACCCUUGGAGCUGCUCAGAAGCACACAUCCUCUUUGUCAGCCUUGAGAAAGGGGCAAAAAGGCUGUGGCAAGGGAUGCCUCAACAUUUGAUUCAGUGAUUCUCUCCGGCUCCUCUGACUCUACCCUCUGAGGAGCUGGCAGGGCACCUGAGGCAGGGAAGGCAGCCAAGGCUGAGCACAGCCACCAGGGGGCGGCCAGGAACAGCCACAAGGAAGGGUGGCCCUGAGGCAAAGACCCGAGGUGGUCACCCGCUUCAAAGGCCCCCAAACCGAGACUGCGUCCCCUGGGCUCUGGAUCCUUUGGCUGCACAGAAACGUUCUUCAAGGGACAUGAGAACUGAGGCCCCUUAAAGGGUUUCACUCACCCUUUAUUCUUUGCCCCAUUCUUGCUGCUGCCUGGAGAUGGGGGUCUUGGACUGUCAGUCUUGGGCCCCUGGGAUCUGAUGGAGUGAGCUCUCAAGGCCAUGGUCCCUGAAAGCCUGUGACUCUCGGCUAAGCCUCUCCAGGCGCGGCUGGGGAGCCACCCCAGGGGAAGAAGUGUGAGGCAACUGGACCGACGGACAGACUUUCCCUGCCCUUUUUCAGAGAUAUAAAGCUCUAAGACGGCUUAGCAAAUGUUCUGGAAAGAACCAGAAAGGAAGCAUUUCAGCUGUGUAGGCUAGGGGGUCUCUGUGGAAGCUACUCAGCCCUACAGUCCGAGUGCUAAAGCAGCCACAGAUAAGGUGUACAUAAAUGGGAGUGGCCACAUUCCAAUGAAACUUGAUUUACAAAAAUACAUGGCGGGCUGGAUUUGUCCUGUACAGCCUCUCCUCUCAAAGAGCAAGCGGCAUAAUAUUUUAAAAAGACACACACAAACACACACAUGCACAGAGAGAGAGAGAAAGGGAGAAAUUUUAAAUUAAAAAAAUAAAAUAAAAUAAAACUCAGGAGUUCCCUUGGUGGCUCAGUGGCUACCAAACCCAACUAGGAAUCAUGAGGACACGGGUUCAAUUCCUAGCCUCCCUCAGUGGGUUAAGGAUCUGGAGUUGCCAUGAGCUGUGGUGCAGAUCACAGAAGUGGCUUGGAUUGGCGUUGCUGUGGCUGUGGUGUAGACCAGCAUCUGUAGCUCCAAUUUGACCCCUAGCCUGGGAAUUUCCAUAGGCUAUGGAUAGGGUCCUAAAAAAAACCAAACCAAAACAAAAAACGCAAAAAACCCACUCAGAUUCAUAUAAUCAUCAAAGGAAAAAACUUCCACAAAGGACUUUGAGGCCCUAAGCCAUUCCCCUUCUUUUCUCUGACAGACAACCUUUUUCUUGGAAGGGUCACCUUUGUCCCAAUGUACCUUGCUCGGAAAUUAAGGUCUCACACUUAGAGUUAUUAAUCCACCUCCAAGAUGGGUGUAGGAAAGCAAACCACAUGAACACCUCCAAAGGGUGUCAGGCCAUAGGCAGGAUUUCUCCAGCAGCCCCUCUUAACACCAGCAGUGCACACACACUUACACUGCAUUCUGUUCCAGAUGCUUCCACAGCACCAGGGGCACGACAUAGAGACACAACUGACACACACACAAGACAACCCCACCCCACCCACCCCUAACAACACCAGGGCUGAGGGCAGAGGAAAGAGGAGGAAAUCCGCAGUUUGAUGGGCAGAGGGCAGCGUUUGCUUCACGUCCCAGGCUGUCUAAUUUGGGGGAAGACACAAACCUUCAAAGCCCCACUUCCUGCAUAUGUGUAAGCGCCUGGCCGCUGCCCCGCCUCUGCACAACAGCUCUCCUGUUAAUUCAUGAGGUCAUCUGUGUAAAAGCACUUCCUACAUGCUAGUUAUCGUCUCCAGAAGGAAGAAUACAGAGGCAAACUGUAAACACUAGGGCCACAUUGAGGCUACGGAUUCUCAAGGAAGGAAAAGGUUGGAAGCGCUGAUGACCAAAGACCUUCUUAUCCAGUGAUCUCAUGAGGGACAAAAUAGAUACUGCAGGUCAGGUUAUGCCUACAUGCCUCUCCACUCUACAGUUUCUCUUGGUCUAAGUCUGCAUGAAAUCUGGAGAAGUGCAUGUAGCCAUUAUGGUCAAGUGUCUAAGCUGAUAGAAGGACAGAAUAGCUACUGCAGGGUGAGUUAUGCCUACAUGCCUCUCCACUCUACAGCUUCUCUUGGUCUAAGUCUGCAAGAAAUCUGGGGAAAUGCACAUGGCUGUUACUGUUACGUGACCGACCUGACAGAACAAGAAAAAUCUGUACACACACACACACACACACACACACACAGGAAGGAAGAAGGACAGAGAAAGAAAGAAAAUGCAAUCAGUGAGAUAUCUGUAGGAAAAGGUUUGGUGAUACUAUUCCAGCCCAGGAAUCAAACACCAGAACCUUAUCCUGGUUCUGCCACUAACUGGCCCCAGGGUUGCUCUCCUGGGAGUGUCAUUACACCUGCCCUUCAACCCUAAUGGUGCAGUGGAGGAAACAAAUUGCCAAAUGACUCCAAAGGGGCUCUGCAUCGUGAAAUCAUUACCCAGUCCUGCAAGGGGCCAAAUAUUAGGGAAGACUGUUAUGAUGACCAAAAACCUUACAUUACUGUCCAAAGUACAAACACACAUUCCUUGUCUCAGCAGUUCCUUCCACUGGAACAGAAUUUUUUCUCUUGAUGUAGUGCCCCAGACACCGAGGGAAAUGUACCCAAAGAUUUGUAUUAUAACCCCGUUUAACAGGGCGGCUUAAGAGCAAAAGGUGAGAAGCAACCCACAUGUCUCCACUAGGGCCCUGGUGGGAUCCAGUACCAGGUUGAUGGGUGGUGUUGGGGGUGGGGAACCUCAAAUAGGGUGGAGACAGGGUGACACUGCAUCCUUUUUAUAUAUAGAUUUCAAUAUAUAUACAUAUUUUUCAAGUUUCCUAACCAGGUGAUUUCACAAAAUGAAGUUUAAUCCCCUGGAGAGAGAAGAGGGGACAUUUUCAUGUACCUUUAAGCUCCAGAAGGUGGUAUCCCCCCCAGCCCCAAGGUUUAGAAUUUGACAGUUGC
This 6119-nucleotide long non-coding RNA is filed under the name Sus scrofa (pig). RNAcentral's name for it is "lncRNA (ENSSSCG00035021096.1)". Lineage: Eukaryota; Metazoa; Chordata; Mammalia; Artiodactyla; Suidae. The record is from RNAcentral.